Colias croceus (clouded yellow) is the source of this 606-nucleotide long non-coding RNA. RefSeq lists it as uncharacterized. The transcript is spliced from 2 exons. NCBI's taxonomy places the organism in Eukaryota, Metazoa, Arthropoda, Insecta, Lepidoptera, Pieridae. The record is from RefSeq and is a predicted model, not a curated record.
UCGAAUAUCGGAUGUCUCUUUUUAACGGUUAAAGCUAGUGCGUCGUACUCUUUAGUUAUCUCAGUGGUCGACGGGAGCUAGAGGACGGUGCCUGUAUCGUUAAGUUAUAAAUAUGUUACGGUCCAAUAUAUCAAAUAAAGACGAUAUUAUCACAAUUUUCAACGGAGAAGACAGUCCUCACGAGGAUUCAGAUUCCAAAGUUGAGGAUGACCAGUUAUCGACGACGUUCAAAACGAGGACGAAAAUUAUGAGAUGUCUGAAUUCGUUGCGUCAUUUCAAGAUCUGAGCCCUCUGAAGAAACUAAUCCAACCAUGAAUGUCAAAAUUAGAGUGUAUAUAAAUGUAAAAAAUCUGUGUGUGGCGAGCACAAGGUUGAUUUAUGUGUAGUUGGUGUAGUCUAUUCCUAAAGUUAAUCUAGUCCUCUAAAAGCUGGUUAGUUGUAAUGUUUGAUCUAAAAAUAUAUAAUUAGCGUAAAAAAAAUUGAUACUCUAUAAAAAUAAUGUAAGUAUGUUUUAGUUGAUUUUGAAGAAGUUAAUAUUUUUGUUCCAAUUUAUGCAUAUUGUUUUUUUUGUUGUAACAAGCACCUGUAAUUAUAAUUAUAAUCGAU